GGAUGUUCCGUUGAGUCUGCAACAAACGUUGUAUGUACUACAUUGUGACGUCCAUCCUCGAAGCGAACAUAUGUGUCAUUCAGUUGAUGUAUAUGGUUACUUCGUCAUUUACUGUGAGCAAAAUAGGGUGUUCAAAGCAGGCUUAUGCCGUUGAAUACAUUAGCAUGGAAUAAUAAGAUAGGACCUUGGUCUAUUUUGUUGGUUUGUACUCCAAGGUA
This 218-nucleotide ribosomal RNA is filed under the name uncultured fungus. RNAcentral's name for it is "partial small subunit ribosomal RNA". The stretch from base 66 to 218 matches the Rfam family "Eukaryotic small subunit ribosomal RNA", at positions 709 to 864 of the family's 1831-position model. Lineage: Eukaryota; Fungi. The record is from RNAcentral.